UGCCGAAGUUUUCCUCGGUAGUUAACUGCAGUCGAUUUCUUAAUUCGGCAGUUAACUGGUGAAGGGCAU
RNAcentral lists this microRNA precursor (69 nucleotides) under Medicago truncatula (barrel medic). RNAcentral describes it as "MIR2629 microRNA precursor family". It matches the Rfam family "MIR2629 microRNA precursor family". The record is from Rfam by way of RNAcentral. Lineage: Eukaryota; Viridiplantae; Streptophyta; Magnoliopsida; Fabales; Fabaceae.